RNAcentral lists this ribosomal RNA (442 nucleotides) under uncultured bacterium. RNAcentral's name for it is "bacterial SSU rRNA". It matches the Rfam family "Bacterial small subunit ribosomal RNA", at positions 351 to 809 of the family's 1533-position model. The record is from RNAcentral.
GCAGUGGGGAAUAUUGCACAAUGGGGGAAACCCUGAUGCAGCGACGCCGCGUGAGUGAAGAAGUAUUUCGGUAUGUAAAGCUCUAUCAGCAGGGAAGAAAAAAGACGGUACCUGACUAAGAAGCCCCGGCUAACUACGUGCCAGCAGCCGCGGUAAUACGUAGGGGGCAAGCGUUAUCCGGAAUUACUGGGUGUAAAGGGUGCGUAGGUGGCAUGGUAAGUCAGAAGUGAAAGCCCGGGGCUUAACCCCGGGACUGCUUUUGAAACUGUCAUGCUGGAGUGCAGGAGAGGUAAGCGGAAUUCCUAGUGUAGCGGUGAAAUGCGUAGAUAUUAGGAGGAACACCAGUGGCGAAGGCGGCUUACUGGACUGUCACUGACACUGAUGCACGAAAGCGUGGGGAGCAAACAGGAUUAGAUACCCUGGUAGUCCACGCCGUAAACGA